UCGCGGGUGGUGCGAAAGACUUUCCGGGCGCGUCCGGGUGCCGCGGCUCUCCGGGCCCCCCUGCAGCCGGGGCGGCCAAGGGGCGUCGGCGACAUCCUCCCCCUAAGCGCCGGCCGGCCGCUGGUCUGUUUUUUCGUUUUCCCCGUUUCGGGGGUGGUGGGGGUUGCGGUUUCUGUUUCUUUAACCCGUCUGGGGUGUUUUUCGUUCCGUCGCCGGAAUGUUUCGUUCGUCUGUCCCCUCACGGGGCGAAGGCCGCGUACGGCCCGGGACGAGGGGCCCCCGACCGCGGCGGUCCGGGCCCCGUCCGGACCCGCUCGCCGGCACGCGACGCGAAAAAGGCCCCCCGGAGGCUUUUCCGGGUUCCCGGCCCGGGGCCUGAGAUGAACACUCGGGGUUACCGCCAACGGCCGGCCCCCGUGGCGGCCCGGCCCGGGGCCCCGGCGGACCCAAGGGGCCCCGGCCCGGGGCCCCACAACGGCCCGGCGCAUGCGCUGUGGUUUUUUUUUCCUCGGUGUUCUGCCGGGCUCCAUCGCCUUUCCUGUUCUCGCUUCUCCCCCCCCCCUUCUUCACCCCCAGUACCCUCCUCCCUCCCUUCCUCCCCCGUUAUCCCACUCGUCGAGGGCGCCCCGGUGUCGUUCAACAAAGACGCCGCGUUUCCAGGGCACCGACGGCCCCGCCCGAGGAGGCGGAAGCGGAGGAGGACGCGGCCCCGGCGGCGGAAGAGGCGGCCCCCGCGGGGGUCGGGGCCGAGGAGGAAGAGGCAGAGGAGGAAGAGGCGGAGGCCGCCGAGGACGUCAGGGGGGUCCCGGGCCCACCCUGGCCGCGCCCCCCCGGCCCUGAGUCGGAGGGGGGGUGCGUCGCCGCCCUCUUGGCCCCUGCCGGCGCGAGGGGGGGACGCGUGGACUGGGGGGAGGGGUUUUCCUGGCCCGACCCGCGCCUCUUCCUCGGACGCACCGCCGCCUCCUGCUCGACAGAGGCGGCGGAGGGGAGCGGGGCGGCGCCGGAGGGGGCGGCGCCGCGGGAGGGCCCGUGCCCACCCUCCACGCCCGGCCCCCCCGAGCCGCGCGCCACCGUCGCACGCGCCCGGCACAGACUCUGUUCUUGGUUCGCGGCCUGAGCCAGGGACGAGUGCGACUGGGGCACACGGCGCGCGUCCGCGGGGCGGGCGGCCGGCUCCGCCCCGGGGGCCGGGGCGCGGGGGCCGGGCCCCGGAGGCGGCGCUCGCACGCACGGGGCCACGGCCGCGCGGGGGCGCGCGGGUCCCGACGCGGCCGCGGACGCGGGGGGCCCGGGGCGGGGGGCGGAGCCUGGCAUGGGCGCCGCGGGGGGCCUGUGGGGAGAGGCCGGGGGGGAGUCGCUGAUCACUAUGGGGUCUCUGUUGUUUGCAAGGGGGGCGGGUCUGUUGACAAGGGGGCCCGUCCGGCCCCUCGGCCGCCCCGCCUCCGCUUCAACAACCCCAACCCCAACCCCAACCCCCCCGGAGGGGCCAGACGCCCCCCGCGGCGCCGCGGCUCGCGACUGGCGGGAGCCGCCGCCGCCGCUGCUGUUGGUGGUGGUGUUGGUGUUACUGCUGCCGUGUGGCCCGAUGGGCGCCGAGGGGGGCGCUGUCCGAGCCGCGGCCGGCUGGGGGGCUGCGUGAGACGCCCCGCCCGUCACGGGGGGCGCGGCGGCGCCUCUGCGUGGGGGGGCGCGGGGCGUCCGGCGGGGGGCGGGCGGUACGUAGUCUGCUGCAAGAGACAACGGGGGGCGCGAUCAGGUUACGCCCCCUCCCCGGCCCGCCCUUUCCUCGCCCGCCCGCCUAUUNNNNCCUCCCCCCCCCCCCCCCCCCCUCCUCCUCCCCCAGGGUCCUUGCCGCCCCCCGCCUCACCGUCGUCCAGGUCGUCGUCAUCCUCGUCCGUGGUGGGCUCCGGGUGGGUGGGCGACAGGGCCCUCACCGUGUGCCCCCCCAGGGUCAGGUACCGCGGGGCGAACCGCUGAUUGCCCGUCCAGAUAAAGUCCACGGCCGUGCCCGCCCUGACGGCCUCCUCGGCCUCCAUGCGGGUCUGGGGGUCGUUCACGAUCGGGAUGGUGCUGAACGACCCGCUGGGCGUCACGCCCACUAUCAGGUACACCAGCUUGGCGUUGCACAGCGGGCAGGUGUUGCGCAAUUGCAUCCAGGUUUUCAUGCACGGGAUGCAGAAGCGGUGCAUGCACGGGAAGGUGUCGCAGCGCAGGUGGGGCGCGAUCUCAUCCGUGCACACGGCGCACACGUCGCCCUCGUCGCUCCCCCCGUCCUCUCGAGGGGGGGCGCCCCCGCAACUGCCGGGGUCUUCCUCGCGGGGGGGGCUCCCCCCCGAGACCGCCCCCCCAUCCACGCCCUGCGGCCCCAGCAGCCCCGUCUCGAACAGUUCCGUGUCCGUGCUGUCCGCCUCGGAGGCGGAGUCGUCGUCAUGGUGGUCGGCGUCCCCCCGCCCCCCCACUUCGGUCUCCGCCUCAGAGUCGCUGCUGUCCGGCAGGUCUCGGUCGCAGGGAAACACCCAGACAUCCGGGGCGGGCUAAGGGGAAAAAAGGGGGGCGGGUAAGAAUGGGGGGGGGAUUUCCCGCGUCAAUCAGCACCCACGAGUUCCCCCUCUCCCCCCCCCGCCUCACAAAGUCCUGCCCCCCUGCUGGCCUCGGAAGAGGGGGGAGAAAGGGGUCUGCAACCAAAGGUGGUCUGGGUCCGUCCUUUGGAUCCCGACCCCUCUUCUUCCCUCUUCUCCCGCCCUCCAGACGCACCGGAGUCGGGGGUCCCACGGCGUCCCCCAAAUAUGGCGGGCGGCUCCUCCCCACCCCCCUAGAUGCGUGUGAGUAAGGGGGGCCUGCGUAUGAGUCAGUGGGGACCACGCCCCCAACACGGCGACCCCGGUCCCUGUGUGUUUGUUGUGGGGGCGUGUCUCUGUGUAUGAGUCAGGGGGUCCCACGGCGACCCCGGGCCCUGCGUCUGAGUCAAAGGGGCCAUGUGUAUGUGUUGGGGGUCUGUAUAUAUAAAGUCAGGGGGUCACAUGGCGACCCCCAACAGGGCGACCCCGGUCCCUGUAUAUAUAGGGUCAGGGGGUUCCGCACCCCCUAACAUGGCGCCCCCGGUCCCUGUAUAUAUAGUGUCACGGGGUUCCACGCCCCCUAACAUGGCGCCCCAACAUGGCGCCCGGCUCCCGUGUAUGAGUGGGGGUCCCCCAACAUGGCGGCCGGUUCCAGUGUAAGGGUCGGGGGUCCCCCAACAUGGCGCCCCCCAAUAUGGCGCCCCCCAAUAUGGCGCCCCAGACAUGGCGCCCGGCCCCUCACCUCGCGCUGGGGGCGGCCCUCAGGCCGGCGGGUACUCGCUCCGGGGCGGGGCUCCAUGGGGGUCGUAUGCGGCUGGAGGGUCGCGGACGGAGGGUCCCUGGGGGUCGCAACGUAGGCGGGGCUUCUGUGGUGAUGCGGAGAGGGGGCGGCCCGAGUCUGCCUGGCUGCUGCGUCUCGCUCCGAGUGCCGAGGUGCAAAUGCGACCAGACUGUCGGGCCAGGGCUAACUUAUACCCCACGCCUUUCCCCUCCCCAAAGGGGCGGCAGUGACGAUUCCCCCAAUGGCCGCGCGUCCCAGGGGAGGCAGGCCCACCGCGGGGCGGCCCCGUCCCCGGGGACCAACCCGGCGCCCCCAAAGAAUAUCAUUAGCAUGCACGGCCCGGCCCCCGAUUUGGGGGCCCAACCCGGUGUCCCCCAAAGAACCCCAUUAGCAUGCCCCUCCCGCCGACGCAACAGGGGCUUGGCCUGCGUCGGUGCCCCGGGGCUUCCCGCCUUCCCGAAGAAACUCAUUACCAUACCCGGAACCCCAGGGGACCAAUGCGGGUUCAUUGAGCGACCCGCGGGCCAAUGCGCGAGGGGCCGUGUGUUCCGCCAAAAAAGCAAUUAGCAUAACCCGGAACCCCAGGGGAGUGGUUACGCGCGGCGCGGGAGGCGGGGAAUACCGGGGUUGCCCAUUAAGGGCCGCGGGAAUUGCCGGAAGCGGGAAGGGCGGCCGGGGCCGCCCAUUAAUGAGUUUCUAAUUACCAUACCGGGAAGCGGAACAAGGCCUCUUGCAAGUUUUUAAUUACCAUACCGGGAAGUGGGCGGCCCGGCCCAUUGGGCGGUAACUCCCGCCCAAUGGGCCGGGCCCCGAAGACUCGGCGGACGCUGGUUGGCCGGGCCCCGCCGCGCUGGCGGCCGCCGAUUGGCCAGUCCCGCCCCCGAGGCGGGCCCGCCCUGUGAGGGCGGGCUGGCUCCAAGCGUAUAUAUGCGCGGCUCCUGCCAUCGUCUCUCCGGAGAGCGGCUUGGUGCGGAGCUCCCGGGAGCUCCGCGGAAGACCCAGGCCGCCUCGGGUGUAACGUUAGACCGAGUUCGCCGGGCCGGCUCCGCGGGCCAGGGCCCGGGCACGGGCCUCGGGCCCCAGGCACGGCCCGAUGACCGCCUCGGCCUCCGCCACCCGGCGCCGGAACCGAGCCCGGUCGGCCCGCUCGCGGGCCCACGAGCCGCGGCGCGCCAGGCGGGCGGCCGAGGCCCAGACCACCAGGUGGCGCACCCGGACGUGGGGCGAGAAGCGCACCCGCGCGGGGGUCGCGGGGGUCGCGGGGGUCGCGGGGGUCGCGGGGGUCGCGGGGGGCUCCGGCGCCCCCUCCCCGCCCGCGCGUCGCAGGCGCAGGCGCGCCAGGUGCUCCGCGGUGACGCGCAGGCGGAGGGCGAGGCGCGGCGGAAGGCGGAAGGGGCGCGAGGGGGGGUGGGAGGGGUCAGCCCCGCCCCCCGGGCCCACGCCGGGCGGUGGGGGCCGGGGCCGGGGGGCGGCGGCGGUGGGCCGGGCCUCUGGCGCCGGCUCGGGCGGGGGGCUGUCCGGCCAGUCGUCGUCAUCGUCGUCGUCGGACGCGGACUCGGGAACGUGGAGCCACUGGCGCAGCAGCAGCGAACAAGAAGGCGGGGGCCCACCGGCGGGGGGCGGCGGCGGGGCGGCCGCGGGCGCGCUCCUGACCGCGGGUUCCGAGUUGGGCGUGGAGGUUACCUGGGACUGUGCGGUUGGGACGGCGCCCGUGGGCCCGGGCGGCCGGGGGCGGCGGGGGCCGCGAUGGCGGCGGCGGCGGGCCAUGGAGACAGAGAGCGUGCCGGGGUGGUAGAGUUUGACAGGCAAGCAUGUGCGUGCAGAGGCGAGUAGUGCUUGCCUGUCUAACUCGCUAGUCUCGGCCGCGGGGGGCCCGGGCUGCCCGCCGCCGCCGCUUUAAAGGGCCGCGCGCGACCCCCGGGGGGUGUGUUUUGGGGGGGGCCCGUUUUCGGGGUCUGGCCGCUCCUCCCCCCGCUCCUCCCCCCGCUCCUCCCCCCGCUCCUCCCCCCGCUCCUCCCCCCGCUCCUCCCCCCGCUCCUCCCCCCGCUCCUCCCCCCGCUCCUCCCCCCGCUCCUCCCCCCGCUCCUCCCCCCGCUCCUCCCCCCGCUCCUCCCCCCGCUCCUCCCCCCGCUCCUCCCCCCGCUCCUCCCCCCGCUCCCCCCCCCGCUCCUCCCCCCGCUCCCGCGGCCCCGCCCCCCACGCCCGCCGCGCGCGCGCACGCCGCCCGGACCGCCGCCCGCCUUUUUUGCGCGCGCGCGCGCCCGCGGGGGGCCCGGGC
RNAcentral lists this small RNA (5617 nucleotides) under Human alphaherpesvirus 1 (Herpes simplex virus type 1). Its description in RNAcentral is "LAT". The stretch from base 2662 to 2730 matches the Rfam family "mir-H7 microRNA precursor family". Lineage: Duplodnaviria; Heunggongvirae; Peploviricota; Herviviricetes; Herpesvirales; Orthoherpesviridae. The record is from RNAcentral.